CAAUAGCGUAUAUUAAAGUUGUUGCAGUUAAAAAGCUCGUAGUUGAAUUUUUGCUUGCCGCCGAUGUCGGAACUUCCGUACGUUCGGCGGCGUGCAUCCUUGGGUGGAACCUGUGUGGCAUUAGGUUGUCGUGCAGGGGAUGCUCAUCGUUUACUGUGAAAAAAUUAGAGUGUUCAAAGCAGGCUUACGCCGUUGAAUAUAUUAGCAUGGAAUAAUAAGAUAGGACCUUGGUACUAUUUUGUUGGUUUGCGCACCGAGGUAAUGAUUAACAGGGACAGUUGGGGGUAUUCGUAUUCCAUUGUCAGAGGUGAAAUUCUUGGAUUUCUGGAAGACGAACUACUGCGAAAGCAUUUACUAAGGAUGUUUNCAUUA
This 372-nucleotide ribosomal RNA is filed under the name uncultured eukaryote. RNAcentral describes it as "partial 18S ribosomal RNA". It matches the Rfam family "Eukaryotic small subunit ribosomal RNA", at positions 592 to 975 of the family's 1831-position model. The record is from RNAcentral.